CUUCCUUGUGGGGAGGAGAGUCACCUCAGAGAGUCGCUCCUGAGUACUGACUGUGAAUGAAGAACAUAGUCUCUCAUAGAAACUUCUGGCCUCUGGACACUGUGGAAGCAACUUUUCCUUUAUUGGACUGUCUCCUCUUAACUGUACCUAGAAGAUACUUUAGCACAGCAAACAUCUCUUUUAUGCUUACGUUAUGCAGUUAUGCAGACUUGGUGUACGUCCUUCAAGGACAGUCUAAGAAUCGUUGAUUCUAUUUCUGCUGGAUACAUUGUUGCAGAGAUGUAAAAAGGAAGGAUUUAGAAAAGUAUGCUAUAAGAAUUGAAUACGCAGAGGCAAACUAACUUCACAAGGAGAAAAGAAAGAUGGAAACAGCCUAGACAAACUCAAAUCAAGUCCAGGAGACUUACGCUAGAGUUGCUUUUUCUUUUUUUUUUUCUCUUUUUUUUAAAGAUUUAUUUAUUUAUUAUAUGUAAGUACACUGUAGCUGUCCUCAGACACUCCAGAAGAGGGAGUCAGAUCUUGUUACGGAUGGUUGUGAGCCACCAUGUGGUUGCUGGGAUUUGAACUCCUGACCUUCGGAAGAGCAGUCGGGUGCUCUUACCCACUGAGCCAUCUCAUCAGCCCUAGAGUUGCUUUUUCUAAUAGAAGAGACCAGUGUGCAAUUGUGAAUUGUGAUGCUGAGGCAAGCCGCAAGGAUGAAGAGAAUUAAAUAGAGGAGGAAGAGAAGAGGUUCUCCCCUCUGUUGCCUGACAUUUUGAUUAAUGUUAUGAGCUAUGUUUACAGUCAAACCCUAUGCCUUCAUCAUUGACCUUUUUGUUCGCUGUAUUCUGUCUUAUCAGGAGAUAGACCAGUGCAAUGGACCUCAUAACCACAUACAAUCUAGUUUUAUGGGGAAACUCCUUGUAUAAAAGUAAGCAGGCCAGACCUGUCACCCAACCUUUAAAUCUUUUAGACAAUUAUAACUACAAAUCUAGCACAACUGCAUGUGGGUGGCUCUUGUUGAGAGAGUUACCCCCUGCCAAUAAACAUACAUGAAUAUAUACA
This 1044-nucleotide long non-coding RNA is filed under the name Mus spicilegus (steppe mouse). RNAcentral's name for it is "lncRNA (ENSMSIG00000029618.1)". The record is from RNAcentral. Lineage: Eukaryota; Metazoa; Chordata; Mammalia; Rodentia; Muridae.